GUUGUGGCUCAGUGGUAGAGCACUCGCCUAGCAUGUGCGAGGCCCUGGGUUCAAUCCUCAGCACAACA
This 68-nucleotide transfer RNA is filed under the name Marmota monax (woodchuck). It matches the Rfam family "tRNA". From Rfam's summary of the family: Transfer RNA (tRNA) molecules are approximately 80 nucleotides in length. Lineage: Eukaryota; Metazoa; Chordata; Mammalia; Rodentia; Sciuridae. The record is from Rfam by way of RNAcentral.